RNAcentral lists this ribosomal RNA (330 nucleotides) under uncultured eukaryote. RNAcentral's name for it is "partial 18S ribosomal RNA". It matches the Rfam family "Eukaryotic small subunit ribosomal RNA", at positions 1470 to 1796 of the family's 1831-position model. The record is from RNAcentral.
CCCUUAGAUGUUCUGGGCUGCACGCGCGCUACACUGACGAAGUCAGCGAGCAUCUCCUACGCCGAAAGGUGCGGGGAAUCUUGUGAAACUUUGUCGUGCUGGGGAUUGAUUUUUGAAAUUCUUGAUCAUAAACGAGGAAUUCCUAGUAAGCGCAAGUCAGCAGCUUGCGUUGAUUACGUCCCUGCCCUUUGUACACACCGCCCGUCGCUACUACCGAUUGAAUGGUUUAGUGAGAUGUUUGGACCGGAACUCUCUUGCUCAGCAAUGGGCGAGAGAGAGUCUGGGAAGUCCCUCUAACUGUAUCAUUUAGAGGAAGUAAAAGUCGUAACA